Molecule: long non-coding RNA, 852 nt
Organism: Xenia sp. Carnegie-2017
Lineage: Eukaryota; Metazoa; Cnidaria; Anthozoa; Malacalcyonacea; Xeniidae
Exons: 3
Source: RefSeq, a predicted model, not a curated record
UCCAUUGCACUAUGCCUACUCUCAUUGCUAUGUUACUGUUGGAAUAGAAUUUUUACUUUUCAUUCUGAAGAUAUUUGGACUACACCUUUCAAAAGCACAGCACCAAAAGAAAGCAUCGUUCUCAUCAUAUGUUAAAAAUCCCACAGCAGGAAAUCUCUUCAAACCUCUGUGCUGUUUUUGUAUCACUUUUUAUUAAAUACUUUUUGAAGGAUAUUGAAAAAUAUGAGAAAUGUCCCAAUGAUUUCAUUCUCAUGGAAGAUAAAUGGUUCAGUAACAAGGAUGCCACAAUGGAAAGAAAUAAAUGGCACAAAACUUUGCACACAUUGUUUACUCUGCAUUGAUCUAAGUGUAUCUCUAACACAAAGGAAUAUUUUAUUGUAUGUUUUUUAAAGCUUCUAUAUACAAUGCUUUUAAGGUGAUGCAAUAAUCUGUGGUUGCAAAUUAACCAAUGCUGCACAGAUAGACACAACAGAAUCAAUAUAUGGUUUCAUUGUUAAUGGGACUACACCUUGUAAUAUACUAAAUGACUUCAGUCGUUGAAUAAUUCUUUCAGUGUGAAUCCUCUUUGUAGCUACUCUCCUUGUCAUUGUUGUUGCACCAGUGCCAACAUUACCUUUAUGCAUAAUUGGAGGUGAAAUUAAACGGACAUGUUGAAGGGCAAGUAAAUCCUGGAUAUUAAAUCCUUUGUCAGCCAUGACUUCAUCCCCUGCAGCUAACUCUUCCAAAAAUCCACAUCUCUUGAUGAUUUCCUUGUCGCUUAUGCAACUACUGAACAAUGUAGAGAUAUAGUUGAUAUGUAGAAGCGGUGACAUGGAAAUAAAUAGUUUGAAGGUGUUUCUGCCUUUGUAGUUA